GUGCCCGAACGGGGGUGUAUGCCCUUUAGCUACGGCGAGUGAGCGGCAAAAGCUCAAAUUUGAAAUCUGGUACCUUCGGUGCCCCCAGUUGUAAUUUGGAGAGGGCAACUUUGGGGCCGUUCCUUGUCUAUGUUCCUUGGAACAGGACGUCAUAGAGGGUGAGAAUCCCGUGUGGCGAGGAGUGCGGUUCUUUGUAAAGUGCCUUCGAAGAGUCGAGUUGUUUGGGAAUGCAGCUCUAAGUGGGUGGUAAAUUCCAUCUAAAGCUAAAUAUUGGCGAGAGACCGAUAGCGAACAAGUACAGUGAUGGAAAGAUGAAAAGAACUUUGAAAAGAGAGUGAAAAAGUACGUGAAAUUGUUGAAAGGGAAGGGCAUUUGAUCAGACAUGGUGUUUUGUGCCCUCUGCUCCUUGUGGGUAGGGGAAUCUCGCAUUUCACUGGGCCAGCAUCAGUUUUGGUGGCAGGAUAAAUCCAUAGGAAUGUAGCUUGCCUCGGUAAGUAUUAUAGCCUGUGGGAAUACUGCCAGCUGGGACUGAGGACUGCGACGUAAGUCAAGGAUGCUGGCAUAAUGGUUAUAUGCCGCCCGUCUUGAAACACGGACCA
This 599-nucleotide ribosomal RNA is filed under the name Saccharomyces cerevisiae (brewer's yeast). RNAcentral describes it as "eukaryotic LSU rRNA". It matches the Rfam family "Eukaryotic large subunit ribosomal RNA", at positions 50 to 668 of the family's 3401-position model. Lineage: Eukaryota; Fungi; Ascomycota; Saccharomycetes; Saccharomycetales; Saccharomycetaceae. The record is from RNAcentral.